GACACACAGUCCAGACUGAACAGACUUUAGAACCAGAGUCGUGUGGAGAGAUCAGAGCUGAAUCCAAACCAGCCCGAUGUGUGGAUUGAGCUGAGGGAGCUGAGGGACAUGGUGGUGGAGCAGAGGGUGCAGCUGCAGUUCAGUCAAAGAAGAAGGAGAACACAGCUUUGGAGGGGAGGGUGGUCUCUACUGAAGUGGGUGUGGAAGCACUGAGAGAGGAGAAUGCAAGCUUAAAUGGCUACGUCGGGCCUUUCAAUGUGGACACCAUACUGGUUUUCAGCAAAGAAAUCACAAACAUUGGAAACAUGUUCAGUCCAAUCACAGGUGUUUUCACUGCUCCACUCAGAGGAGUCUAUUACUUCAGGUUUAAUAUAGUUGGUUCCAGCAGUUCAAACAGGCUGGCUGUAUGUUUGUACAAAAAUGAAGAGAAAAAUUUUUAGACGUGACUAAAUUCCCGAAAUGUAGUUAUGUCAUAACUGAAGUUUGAGGGGAGGAGAAUGGCUGAAACCCCUCCCUGGGAAAAACAUCUGGUUCCACUGAGAUACAUUAAAAGUAAAGUAGGUUUUUUCUUCUCCUGUAAAGUGACCAUUUUGGUCACGACAGCAUCGACAUGCAGGACUUAAGCCCCAAAGGCCGCUUACAAAACCUGUGGUGAGAAAUAAAAUACUGGAAAUGCAAAAUACAUUUUCACAAGAUUAAACAAAGAAUACGGCACAUUAACCUUUAUGGCUUAUAAGUAAUAAUUUUGUUAUGAUUUCACUCUCCACCUCCAUGCUGAUCAGCUCUCUCAUCUCCAGUAUAAACUUGAUCCAGAAAUUAAAUUCAGUAAGCUGCUUUAUUUUAUCACUGUCCAAAGAAAUUAAGUAUCUCCAAAAUGGUUACU
Molecule: long non-coding RNA, 883 nt
Organism: Colossoma macropomum (tambaqui)
Lineage: Eukaryota; Metazoa; Chordata; Actinopteri; Characiformes; Serrasalmidae
Exons: 4
Source: RefSeq, a predicted model, not a curated record